Argentina anserina (silverweed cinquefoil) is the source of this 107-nucleotide small nucleolar RNA. The record is from RefSeq and is a predicted model, not a curated record. NCBI's taxonomy places the organism in Eukaryota, Viridiplantae, Streptophyta, Magnoliopsida, Rosales, Rosaceae.
AUACCAUGGUGAUGGAAUUUUCUUUAUAGUUCCUCAAAUUCCUCCCAUGCCUCAUAGAACGAAUCACAAUCCUUUUGAGUGAAGUUCUAAAUCUCCCUCCUUAGUCU